Molecule: transfer RNA, 76 nt
Filed under: Candidatus Kaiserbacteria bacterium RIFCSPLOWO2_01_FULL_54_24
Lineage: Bacteria; Candidatus Kaiseribacteriota
Description: tRNA-Arg
Rfam family: tRNA
About the family: Transfer RNA (tRNA) molecules are approximately 80 nucleotides in length. Their secondary structure includes four short double-helical elements and three loops (D, anti-codon, and T loops). Further hydrogen bonds mediate the characteristic L-shaped molecular structure. tRNAs have two regions of fundamental functional importance: the anti-codon, which is responsible for specific mRNA codon recognition, and the 3' end, to which the tRNAs corresponding amino acid is attached (by aminoacyl-tRNA synthetases). tRNAs cope with the degeneracy of the genetic code in two manners: having more than one tRNA (with a specific anti-codon) for a particular amino acid; and 'wobble' base-pairing, i.e. permitting non-standard base-pairing at the 3rd anti-codon position.
Source: RNAcentral
GCCCUCGUAGCUCAAUGGAUAGAGCAAGCCUGCCUCUAUCUCGGCAAGGUUGGAGGUUCAAGUCCUCCCGAGGGCA